GGAAUCUUGCGCAAUGGGCGAAAGCCUGACGCAGCAACGCCGCGUGGGCGAUGAAGGCCUUCGGGUCGUAAAACCCUGUCAGGUGGGAAGAAUCGGUCGGGAGCUAAUAUCUCCCGGCCUUGACUGUACCACCAGAGGAAGCCCCGGCUAACUCCGUGCCAGCAGCCGCGGUAAUACGGAGGGGGCCAGCGUUGUUCGGAAUUAGUGGGCGUAAAGGGCGCGUAGGCGGUCGGGUAAGUCUGACGUGAAAUCCCUUGGCUCAACCAAGGAACUGCGUCUUAAACUGCCCGGCUUGAGUCCGGGAGAGGGUAGUGGAAUUCCCAGUGUAGCGGUGAAAUGCGUAGAUAUUGGGAGGAACACCGGUGGCGAAGGCGGCUACCUGGACCGGUACUGACGCUGAGGCGCGAAAGCUAGGGUAGCAAA
Molecule: ribosomal RNA, 423 nt
Filed under: uncultured bacterium
Lineage: Bacteria
Description: bacterial SSU rRNA
Rfam family: Bacterial small subunit ribosomal RNA
Source: RNAcentral